UACGUAGGGUCCGAGCGUUUGUCCGGAAUUACUGGGCGUAAAGAGCUCGUAGGUGGUUUGUCGCGUUGUUCGUGAAAACUCACAGCUCAACUGUGGGCGUGCGGGCGAUACGGGCAGACUUGAGUACUGCAGGGGAGACUGGAAUUCCUGGUGUAGCGGUGGAAUGCGCAGAUAUCAGGAGGAACACCGGUGGCGAAGGCGGGUCUCUGGGCAGUAACUGACGCUGAGGAGCGAAAGCGUGGGGAGCGAACAGG
Molecule: ribosomal RNA, 254 nt
Filed under: uncultured bacterium
Lineage: Bacteria
Description: partial 16S ribosomal RNA
Rfam family: Bacterial small subunit ribosomal RNA
Source: RNAcentral